UACGUAGGUGGCAAGCGUUGUCCGGAUUUAUUGGGUUUAAAGGGUGCGUAGGCGGCUUUGUAAGUCAGUGGUGAAAUAUGGCAGCUUAACUGUCAAGGUGCCAUUGAUACUGCGAGGCUUGAGUACAGAUGAGGUAGGCGGAAUUGACGGUGUAGCGGUGAAAUGCUUAGAUAUCGUCAAGAACACCUAUAGCGAAGGCAGCUUACUAGGCUGUAACUGACGCUGAGGCACGAAAGUGUGGGGAUCAAACAGG
RNAcentral lists this ribosomal RNA (253 nucleotides) under uncultured prokaryote. RNAcentral's name for it is "partial 16S ribosomal RNA". It matches the Rfam family "Bacterial small subunit ribosomal RNA", at positions 524 to 776 of the family's 1533-position model. The record is from RNAcentral.